This 253-nucleotide ribosomal RNA is filed under the name uncultured bacterium. Its description in RNAcentral is "partial 16S ribosomal RNA". It matches the Rfam family "Bacterial small subunit ribosomal RNA", at positions 524 to 776 of the family's 1533-position model. The record is from RNAcentral.
GACGAACCGUGCGAACGUUGUUCGGAAUCACUGGGCUUAAAGGGCGCGUAGGCGGGCCGUCAAGUCAGGGGUGAAAUCCCACGGCUCAACCCUGGAAGUGCCUCUGAUACUGACGGCCUCGAGGGAGGUAGGGGCGUGCGGAACUUCCGGUGGAGCGGUGAAAUGCGUAGAGCUCGGGAAGAACAUCGGUGGCGAAAGCGCUCUACUGGACUGCAACUGACACUCAGGGACGAAAGCUAGGGGAGCGAAUGGG